This 1013-nucleotide long non-coding RNA is filed under the name Corvus moneduloides (New Caledonian crow). RNAcentral's name for it is "lncRNA (ENSCMUG00000019978.1)". The record is from RNAcentral. Lineage: Eukaryota; Metazoa; Chordata; Aves; Passeriformes; Corvidae.
AUUUGUUAUUGUGCCAGCAUUGUCCUUUUGCUGAAGUAGUUUCCUGCCCUCCUUGGUGUUCCCUGCUUCCACAACGUGUUCUGGACAGAGGGAUUACAUUGCUUUUUUUUGCCUGUGGUUUCCUGGAGUGAAAAAAACACUCUCUUGUGAGACCUGCUUUGCUCCCAGCAUCAUCAAAAGGUGUGAGCUGAGGUUUCAUCUGGGGCUGGAGGAUCUUCUGCGUUUAAGGACUUGCUAAAUCAAAGAAAAACUCAGUGUUUUGGAGCUGUGUGGGCAGUAUGCAAAUGUGCUGUUCCCAAGGAUUAAACCAAACAUUUUCCCCGGUAGUGAGGAAAGUGUGGCUUCAAAGGGCUGGGGGAGCAUUGUCAGUGGAGAGUUCAGCAGGAACUGCAGGGAUGGAUAGGGCAGGGGGGAAUGGAUUCAAACUGAAAGAGAGUAGGUCUAGAUCAGAUACAAGUAGGAAGUUCUUCCAGUUCCUCACCACCCUCACAGGGCAUAGGGUGCCCAGAGAAGCUGUGGCUGCCCCUGGAUCCCUGGCAGUGUCCAAGGCCAGGUUGGACACUGGGGCUUGGAGCAGCCUGGGACAGUGGAAGGUGUCCCUGCCCAUGGCAGGAGUGGGACUGGAUGGGCUUCAAGGUCCCUUCCGACCCAAACCAUUUCAUGAUUCCAAAGUGCUGCUUAGGGAAAUGCUGGUAAGAGCUGAUACUCUCCCUUCCCUCUCUCUCCAAACAGCCUACGUGGUACAGGCACUUCAUGGAAAAUCCGGGCAACUCUUCUGUCCCCAGCCACCCCAAUCUCUCUGUGCCCCCUUGGAUACAAGAGACAGGACCAGUUAUGCUGCAGCCUUGCCUGGUUCGGGGCAGUUUAACUGCUUUUGUGUGGAGCAGAGCCUGAGCUGGCAGUGUGACCUGUGCACCCAGUCCAGCCGUGCGAGUGCCUCAUCAGCAUGGGCUUAUCCCUGCCAGCAGCACCACGAGGAGCCUGCUGAGCGAGUGCAGGGGGAGGACAAGUGA